UACGGGGGGGGCAAGCGUUGUCCGGAAUUACUGGGCGUAAAGGGUUUGUAGGUGGCCUGCUAAGUCAGACGUGAAAUCCCUCAGCUUAACUGGGGAACUGCGUCUGAGACUGGUAGGCUCGAGGACAGGAGAGGAACGCGGAAUUCCAGGUGUAGCGGUGAAAUGCAUUGAGAUCGGAAAGAACACCAACGGCGAAAGCACUCUGCUGGACCGACACUGACACUGAGAGACGAAAGCUAGGGGAGCAAAUGGG
RNAcentral lists this ribosomal RNA (253 nucleotides) under uncultured bacterium. RNAcentral describes it as "partial 16S ribosomal RNA". It matches the Rfam family "Bacterial small subunit ribosomal RNA", at positions 524 to 776 of the family's 1533-position model. The record is from RNAcentral.